This 476-nucleotide ribosomal RNA is filed under the name uncultured bacterium. RNAcentral describes it as "partial 16S ribosomal RNA". It matches the Rfam family "Bacterial small subunit ribosomal RNA", at positions 355 to 818 of the family's 1533-position model. The record is from RNAcentral.
UGGGGAAUAUUGGACAAUGGGGGCAACCCUGAUCCAGCCAUGCCGCGUGUGUGAAGAAGGCCUUUUGGUUGUAAAGCACUUUAAGCAGGGAGGAGAGGCUAAUGGUUAAUACCCAUUAGAUUAGACGUUACCUGCAGAAUAAGCACCGGCUAACUCUGUGCCAGCAGCCGCGGUAAAUACAGAGGGUGCGAGCGUUAAAUCGGAAUUACUGGGCGUAAAGCGAGUGUAGGUGGCUCAUUAAGUCACAUGUGAAAUCCCCGGGCUUAACCUGGGAACUGCAUGUGAUACUGGUGGUGCUAGAGUAUGUGAGAGGGGAAGUAGAAUUCCAGGUGUAGCGGUGAAAUGCGUAGAGAUCUGGAGGAAUACCGAUGGCGAAGGCAGCUUCCUGGGCACAAUAUUGACACUGAGAUUCGAAAGCGUGGGUAGCAAACAGGAUUAGAUACCCUGGUAGUCCACGCCGUAAACGAUGUCUACUA